Molecule: ribosomal RNA, 521 nt
Filed under: uncultured archaeon
Lineage: Archaea
Description: bacterial SSU rRNA
Rfam family: Archaeal small subunit ribosomal RNA
Source: RNAcentral
ACGGGGUGCAGCAGGCGCGAAACCUCCGCAAUGCACAAACGUGUGACGGGGGAACCCCAAGUGCUACGGUACGACCGUAGCUUUUACGGAGUGUAAAAAGCUCUGAGAAUAAGGGCUGGGUAAGGCUGGUGCCAGCCUCCGCGGUAAAACCAGCAGCUCAAGUGGUCGUCGCUUUUAUUGGGCUUAAAGCGUCCGUAGUCGGUUUGGUCAGUCCUCUGUGAAAUCCGAUGACUCAAUCAUCGGGCUGGCAGAGGAUACUGCCUAACUAGGAGACGGGAGAGGUCAGGGGUACUCCUCGGGUAGCGGUGAAAUGCUAUAAUCCUGGGAUGACCACCGGUGGCGAAGGCGCCUGACUGGAACGUGCUCGACGAUGAGGGACGAAAGCUAGGGGAGCAAACCGGAUUAGAUACCCGGGUAGUCCUAGCCGUAAACGAUGCAGACUGAGUGUUACUGGAACUACGCGUUCCAGUAGUGCUGAAGGGAAACUGUUAAGUCUGCCGCCUGGAAGUACGUCGCAAGGC